Molecule: ribosomal RNA, 437 nt
Filed under: Wanniyala sp. SL55
Lineage: Eukaryota; Metazoa; Arthropoda; Arachnida; Araneae; Pholcidae
Description: partial 16S ribosomal RNA
Source: RNAcentral
UUCUUUAAGAAAAAUAAUUUAAAGUAAAACCUGCUCAAUGAAUAACUCAAAAUUAAAUAGCCGCAGUUAACCUGUGCUAAGGUAGCAUAAUAAUUUGCUUUCUAAAUAGAAGAUAGAAUGAAAGGUUAAACGAUAAAUAAUUGUUUCCAAAAUAAUAAUAAACUUGUUAUUUAAGUAAAAAUUCUUAAAUAUUAAGACUAGACGACAAGACCCUAAUAAACUUAAAUCAUUUAGUUGGGGUGACAUAAUAACUAAAACUUAUCAUACUACUACACACACCUUAUUAUUUAAUUCAAGAAUAGUUACUAUAGGGAUAACAGCGUAAUAUUUUUCAAGAGACCUAAUCAAAAAAAAAGAUUACGACCUCGAUGUUGAAUUAUUUCCCUAAUUUUAACGCAAAAGUUAAUUAAGGUAGUCUGUUCGACUAUUAAAUUUUU